Carica papaya (papaya) is the source of this 1224-nucleotide non-coding RNA. The record is from RefSeq and is a predicted model, not a curated record. NCBI's taxonomy places the organism in Eukaryota, Viridiplantae, Streptophyta, Magnoliopsida, Brassicales, Caricaceae.
UGAGCAUUCUCUCCCUUGUGAAUUUGGAUGGAAGCAAUAACAAUCCAUAGUGGCAUCUUGCAGCGAAUGAGUCAUUUACAGUUAAGUCUUUUUACAAGCAGUUGUUUAAGCAUGAAAAGAAUGGGUAUACAUUCUUGCUUAAACAGACUUGACAAGUUAGGGUCCAUCCUUGUUCUUCUUUCAGUAUUUUAACUUUUAACAAACUGAGGAGACAGGACAAGAUCUUGGUCAACACUUGUUCUAUUUGUAAGAGGGUAGACAAGACUUGUAACAGUGUACUACUAUGAUGUACUGUGGUUUUUAUGCUCUGGACAAUGGUUUACAGCUUGUUAGACAUCAAUUGGGUGAUGGCAAGACCGAUGAAAGAUGAAUUCUGGGCAUGGAAGGGCUUUAGUGGCUGGAGGAAACUUGUGAACCUAAUAUCGGUCUUACUAUUUUUUGGGUUUUGCGGAAGGAGAGGAAUAGAAGAACUUUUGUUGGGAUUGAGAAUGUGGAUGGUGUUGAUUUACUUAAAGAAAGAUAGUUGCAGACCAUUGUUUUUUUGUUAUGGGGUCAAACCUUCUUAUUUAAUGAAGGAUAUAGUAAAUCUUGUUGGUAUGUUGAUUGACAUGUAAAUUUUUGUAAAUAGGUGGCUCCCCUUGGUGCUGAUAUCAAUAUAUUUUUAUGUCAUAUUUCAAAAAAAAAAAGAAAAAAAGCAAUAAUUUAGUGUUAUUUCUAUGCUUAUCUAGUUUUUCUUUUUUUUUUGGGUACUUCAGGUUUCACGUAUUCCAAGUAUAUCACACUUGGACAAAAUGUGAACCUUCCAACCAAUGCUGGUGGGUGCACAUGUGAAGGAGAGUGCAUAGAUCCCCGGAUUUGUGCAUGUGCUAAGCUUAAUGGCUCAGAUUUUCCUUAUGUGCAUCGUGAUGGCGGCAGAUUGAUUGAAGCCAAAGAUGUCAUAUUUGAGUGUGGCCCAGGAUGUAAAUGUGAACCUGGUUGUGUAAACCGGACAUCUCAAAGAGGAAUUAAGUAUCGCCUUGAGGUUUUUCGUACUCCUAAAAAGGGAUGGGCUGUUAGGUCGUGGGAUUUCAUACCUUCUGGAGCGCCUGUCUGUGAAUAUGUUGGAGUGCUUAUGAGGACCGAAGAUCUAGACAAUGUUUCUGAGAAUGAUUAUAUUUUUGAGAUUGAUUGCUUACAGACUAUGAGUGGACUUGGUGGCAGAGAGGUAUUUUUGAAGCAUUUUGA